CAGCGAGGACGUCUGCCACGAGAGGUCUACCAGCAACAGAAGUUGUACGUUUGAAGAGAUAUCCUCAAGGAAGCUGAACGAUAUCAAAGAUGAAUGUGACGGACGCAGAUCGUGUGAGAUAGAGGCAAAUACGGCAAAUCUGGGACCGGAUCCGUGCCGUGGUGUCACGAAAUACGCACGCGUACUCUACAAGUGCUCGUAAACAAAUCCGUCGCCAUGGAUACGACAUCCGGGGAGGCACGAACGCGGGGCGAGGAAUGGAAGCAUAGCGCUGGCAGAUCUACGCUGCAGUAUUUGUGAUUAGACAGACAGACAUUCAGUUACACGGGUAGUUACCCCCGUCACAAUAGUUAUGCGUAGUGUACGUGCACACAUAGACCGUGUCCGAUCAUGUCCCGAACCGCCGCACGCUGAAUGUGAAAAAAUGUGUUACAUCGCGUGCCGAUAGAUGGCAGGAUCAUCGGAUCUCACUGAUUGUUAUUUUCGUCUACUUUUGGUUAGUUUGCAUGAGUGAAUGCAGCAAUGAAAACAUUGAUAAUAAACACAUUAAUAAGUAUAUUAUAUAUA
Molecule: long non-coding RNA, 567 nt
Organism: Priapulus caudatus
Lineage: Eukaryota; Metazoa; Priapulida; Priapulimorpha; Priapulimorphida; Priapulidae
Exons: 4
Source: RefSeq, a predicted model, not a curated record